GGGCCCAUAGCUCAAUGGUGGAGCGGCCGGCUCAUAACUGGUUGGUUGUAGGUUCGAAUCCUACUGGGCCCA
Molecule: transfer RNA, 72 nt
Filed under: Armatimonadota bacterium
Lineage: Bacteria; Bacillati; Armatimonadota
Description: Armatimonadetes bacterium tRNA-Ile
Rfam family: tRNA
About the family: Transfer RNA (tRNA) molecules are approximately 80 nucleotides in length. Their secondary structure includes four short double-helical elements and three loops (D, anti-codon, and T loops). Further hydrogen bonds mediate the characteristic L-shaped molecular structure. tRNAs have two regions of fundamental functional importance: the anti-codon, which is responsible for specific mRNA codon recognition, and the 3' end, to which the tRNAs corresponding amino acid is attached (by aminoacyl-tRNA synthetases). tRNAs cope with the degeneracy of the genetic code in two manners: having more than one tRNA (with a specific anti-codon) for a particular amino acid; and 'wobble' base-pairing, i.e. permitting non-standard base-pairing at the 3rd anti-codon position.
Source: RNAcentral